This 11697-nucleotide long non-coding RNA is filed under the name Homo sapiens (human). RNAcentral's name for it is "non-protein coding LINC00898:6". The record is from RNAcentral. Lineage: Eukaryota; Metazoa; Chordata; Mammalia; Primates; Hominidae.
ACUCCUCCCAUGCACACGCACACUGACACAUGUCCACACUCACGCUCACCUCACUUUCAGCUGAGGCCACACUUCACGUUUCCGAGAGAAAGCGGGCGAGGCAGCAGGAGCUCUGAGGGAUAACUGGCUCGUCCGCUUGCCUGUGCCCCGGGGCACCUACAGAGUGGGUACGUGACUUCCGGGGUGUCUGUGAGGGCGUUUCUGGAAGAGCUUCGUGUUUGCAAUGGCGGACUGAACACAGCAGCUGGCCCCUCCCCAAGGUGGGUGGGCCUCGUCCAAUCUGUGGAAGCCGGAACAGGACAAAAAGGUGGAGGGCGUUUGGAUUCUCUCUGCCUGACCCAAGGCAGACAUCCGUUCCCUCUGGCCGUUGGUACUCCUGGUUCUCAGGGAUUCAGACUCUGACUGGCGUCCACUCCAUUGGAUCCCGGCCCUCAGGUCUUGGAACUUGCACUGCCAGCAUUCCUGGGUGUCCGGCUUGCGGACAGCAGAUCGUGGGACUUCUCAGCCUCCAGAAUUGCACGAAGUGUCUCCUUACGAAUCUCUUCCUAUGUACGUGUAUCCUAUUGGCUCUGUUUCUCUGCAGAACCCUGACUAAUGCAAACCCUCUCAUCUCACAGCAGUGCAUGUACAAACCCACUCACAUCUUCCCCUCCCCUGCCUUCCCUACCGCAAGUUCCCUCCGACCAGAGGCCAAUCCCGCUGCGGUGCCCCGGACCCACCCUCUGCACCAGCCUUCCUUCUUGUUUUCUAAAAGCUCGCGUUUUCUGUGGGCUUCCAAGGCUGCUCUUCAGUAUCUUUACGUCAGAGCCUCCCAGCUCCUUCCCCUCUCUCAAAAGCGUUUUCACAGGGACUGUAGGCUCCUUCCCUCCCCUUGAUAACCAAGUACUAUGCCCCAGGUUCUUACCUCACAGCCCAAAGUUGUCCUAAGUCGGGCCCUGACCUGAGUGUCUCCAAAUCCAGCAGGCCGUCUGCUCUCCUGUGACAUGCAGCAUCCCACGGCUUUUCCUAAAAGACCCCCUCUGUCAGCUUUGCUGUCACCCACCCUCCAGGGCUCUCUCUUACAGGUCUGCCCUUUGCUAGCAUCUUAGCCUCUCCACCUCCCGGUGGUCCUGUCUGCGAUGGACCCCCUCCAUGUGUCCCAAGGCCCUCCAAAGGAACAGGUCUGUAUCAGGUGCAAUUAGAUUGAGGUGCAAUGCAAGGGCUUGAAUUGCAGAGAGGUUCAUUUUUCUUUUUGUAGAAAAGUCUGGGACCAGCUGUCAGAGACUGAUUUGGCCACUCCAUGGUCACCAGGACCAGGCUGUGUCCAUCUUUUCUGUUCUGACCUUUUUCACAUGGGCCAUUGUCCAUGUCACCGCUGGUCACCAGCUGCAGCAGUCGCAUUCUUGCUCCGGGCAGCAGGAAGAAGGUGAGACCAGAAGGCAGAGGGGGCUGGUCCUGCCUGGUCAGCCCCCAGGGGGCUUUGCCCAGACACCCCUUCCCCACCCAUGGCUCUGCUGAUUUCUCUAUAGCUGCCACCCUCUGAAAAGGGAGCUGGCAGAGUAGUUCUUAGACAUGGCACCUGGCCACCUCUGUGGCUGAAGAAGAAGGGGGUUGAGGAUUGGGGUACACACCUGUCAGUCUCCAUGCAAUGCCCCAAAGUGGACCACUGACCCCACACCACGCUGUUCUCCUCUGAGUUUUCUCACCUCUGUCCAAAUGGCUGCAGAAGCCAAAAGCCCCAGAGCCCAGCUCCCCUUCCCUCCUUUCUCUUCCAUCCUUCCAUCCUUCCAUGAGCCUGCCCCUCAUCCUCCUCAGGGCUGGAACUGGCUGCCGGAUUCCUCCCUGGCUCCGUGGGGGCUGGCUCAGCAAUCUGAGCUGCCGAUGGCUCUGUGGUCCAGCUGGGAGGAUUCAUGCCCCAUUGGGGCUGAGAGGAAUGAGGUGAGGGCUGUGGGGUUUGCCCAGAAUCUCCUGAAAUAUCGGGCCCAGGAACUACAGCAGGACUCUCAUUCCGCCUUCUGGCCACUGUUGGGGGUGACACUGGCAGGAUCCAGGGGCUCUGGAAAGCUCCAGGGGAAAUUUGAGGCAUAACCCAGCUUCUCUGAGACGGAACUCAGGGAGGAUCCAGCUCAAUCCUACAGAGGCGACCCCAAGGAAGGACCUGCCCAGGGUCACUUGGAGAGCUGGGCGGGAGGAGGGAGAAACCUCCCCCGUUCAGAGUGACAAAGCCCCCCUUGCCUCAGGGAUGGCUGAGAUCCAAGUCCUCAAAACACGCCGCCAUCUGGAGGGUGUGAGAGCGAGGUCCGUCCUCAGCAUGGACGCUGCAGUGCACACUGUUCCGUGCCAGGUGCUGGCUGACCCUGCCCUGUGGGAGGUGAUGGACAGGCACACAGGGGGAGCCCCGCAAACAAGGGGCCCUGUUACAGCAGAGUGGGAGAGCGCCUGGUAGGACGCCAAGCACCGUGGCCGGGCUGCAGAGAGGCCUGCGGGACUUGUAGACAAGACGUCAUGGAGAAGGCGGAGCUCCCAUGGGCCUUGCAGGUUUCACCAAGCAAGAGCGGAGAAGACACAGGCUGGACAAAGGAAGGUGGACGGGACAGCCAGCCGUGCAGCAGCCUCACAGGACACAGCUACCAGACAGAGAGCACCAGCUGACACUCAUUCCUCCAGCACCAGGAAAUGCCACAGCAGAAGAGAGUCUUCAAGAUGGGCCAGACCCACUUCUGCAGCAUGGUUGCUGGGAGCCUGCACAGGCCAGGCAUUUCUCUACAGGUCAGCAGAGCUGCAGCAAGAUCCCAGGUCCUGACCCAAGGCAGUCCUGACCCAUGGUCUAUCCCCACCGGCCCUUCCCUGGAGCUGUGCCUCAGCUGGGGAGGUACUUCUGGAAGGCAGGUGGAGGAGGUAAGCCUCCUUCCCAGCCUGCAAGUCUGUGGUUUAGGUGGCCUAUACUAACUGAUACUCGUACAGGUGCAAUUGAGAACUCACUGAGGCAAAAGGGCCUUUGUCAACCCACAGAAGUGACAAGUCCAAGUGCAGACCAGGCUUCAGGUCCAGUUGCUCUUCAGAACUCAAAAUCCCAUCUCUGCAGGUCUCAGCCAAUCCUGCUCCCGCCUGUUUUUAUUUCCUGCCCAGAGCAAGUACAGAACCGAGGGCCAUCGAUGGGCGAGAAAUCACUGUGCCUCCAAGCUGUAUUUUUCACCGUAACAAGUCAUUACUUCUGUGCCCGGAGUCAUUUCUCAGGAUCUUAAUGCAUUCGUUUAUCAAUCAAUACUUAACUGAUGUCUAUAAAGCAUGUUCAAAAUCAGAGGUGAGAGCAGCUCACCAGGUACCGACUUCGUGUCUGGAGCCACCUUGUUAAGGAGCAACCCUUGGCACGGGUCCCGUGUCUGCACCCUCGGGAGCUCUGGGUGGGUGCACUGGGGUCCUCACAGCCCUUCCCACCACCGCAGAUGGAAAUCUCUACCUGGCAGAGGGGCUCAGUCGUCCCCACCUGGGAGUCUGGGGCCUACCGGCAGCAGAAGGUGCAGUGGCCAAACACAGAGACAUUUCUAUCAUCAGACCUGGUCCCCAGCCUGACUCUGCUGCCCACUUACCCCUGGCCAGGGCGAGUUCAUCGACUGUGCCGAGCCUGGCUGCUUCUCCAGCCUAACAGGAGUCCCCGUCUCGACAGGACUGAGUGGGGUGAAUGCAGCCAAGUGCUCAGCAGAGACUGUCCCACCGGGAAGUGUUCACAAAUAUGGGCUGUUGAACCUGCUGUUGUUAGAUCUAGAUCCAGUUCUGCGACCACGUUCAUGACUUAGAUCAUAACUGAAGUGCGGGCCAGCCGAGGCCGGGCCGUUUAGGGGUUUGGCUGCUAAUUCAAGAAGGACACCUGGGUUUGGAUCCCAGAGUUCCCUCCAGACCCAGAUGUGGCCUCAGGCAGGUGAUGAGCCUGGAGAUGCGGUUUCAUUUUCUGCAGGGUGGUCAAAGGAGAUCUCAGGCUUGUAGGAGACAAAGCACAUCGCCCCGAACUGCUCAGGAGGCGCAGAUUACAGCCACCCUCCUUAUCCACCCCGUCUCCCAUCACAGCCCUCAUGAGUGCUCAAGCAAGGCUCAGGGCCUGAUGGACGUGGCUGCCUCCUCCUAGAGGACAGGCAUGUCUCGGCUGCCUGCACCAGCCAGCGGCCCUUCUCCCCGGCCAGGAGAUCCUCCAAGGAAGGCCAAGGGCCAAGCAGGUAGGCUAGGGAUGGGCUCUGGUACAUGGGCCCCAUUCCCAUGAUUGGAAACUUCCCAGGCGCCAUUUGUCACCUUGACUCGCUGUUUCAAGCCCGGCUCUCCCUGGGGCGCCAGGAGUGGGCCCAGGCCCUUCCGACAGCCGGCCUGCAGCUGUGCUGGUGACUGAUUGGGGAUGAGGCCACUGUCCCUGCCUUCCUGGGAGCCAGGAUGUUGAUUGAAUGGCCAUUUCACUCUCUCCAACAAGCAAGUAACAGUGUAAACUGGGGUCUAAUUUAUCAAAAACAGUCGCUUGUAUUCUGCGUGGCCCAUGUUCUGGGCUGAAACAGCCGCUACCCAGCUCCUGGCCCACGUGCGUGCGAUUUCCUGAUAUUUCAGUUUUAUGGAAGACAUCUCACUGACGAAUGUCUCUUAGUGAACGAUCAUUCUGGAAGCUAUUUUGCCUUCAAAGAGGCUUCUCCUGGAAUGGGCUGGGAGGGGCGGGCACCGUGUUAUAUAUAAAUUCACUGCCAGGAGCGCCCAGCAGGGGAGGGAAUGAGAUCGGCAGGAGAUGAGAAUGAAAUGUGUGCGGCUGCAGCCAAGCCUGUCCUCCCUGUCACCGUCCGAGGGCUGCUGGGAUGGGCGGGAAGGCCAGAUGUGGGACAGGUGGCCCAAGUGACGCCCCCAGCUUCACCACCUGCCACUGCCUGGCCUUGGGCAGCUCACUCCCUCUGGGAGCCUGGGCUUCUCACGGGGCAUAAUGAUUUACAAAUUGCUGCCACUUCUCUGCUUGCUCUCGACCAUCAUUACACGUCAGGCAGGGCUGGGACUGGAGGCUGAGCUGUGUCCCAGCUACGGGUGACCGUGCCAGAGCUGCCAGGGAUCCUGAGGCACAAUGAGAGCCUUCCUUCCACCCACCGUGCGCUUUCUGCCUGUGAUGUGGCCGAGACAUCGCAGGCUGUGGGGUCCUCAGCGCUCAGGCUCCCUGUACUCUCUCUCCCUGCAUACCUGGACCUCCGUUCUCUCUUGCUGGAGGCCUAGAAAAAGUCCCUGGAAUGAAAUCACUCAGGCUCUGGUGCAGACACUGGCACCGCCUGUCCAGGGGGCCCCGGAUAAGUCCCUCCCACUCUCUGGACUCAGGGGCCAUGUCUGCAAAUGAGGCUGGAAAACGAGAUGGUCCCUACAAGGCCCUCUGGUACCUGGAGGGACUGAGUGUCCCAGCCUGGGCCCUGCAGCAGCCCUUCCAUAUCAUGCAUGCAAGGGACUCUGAAUCCCAACCCCACCAUUAGAAGGGCCGCUGUCAGCCAAGAACAGGAUCGUCAUCCCCUCCGUCCCCUGCACAACGGAGCAUAGCUGCCCCUUUCUACCAUCUUUGUUCUAGGUUGAGGUUCUCAAAGGGGAGUCCCAGGCCAGCAGCAUCAGUCCCACCUUGUAGUGUGCUAGAAAUGCAGAUUCUCAGGCCCCUCUGCGGUCUAUAGAAUUCAGAAGUCAGGUGCUGGGGCCCAGGAAUCUACUUUAACAGGCUGCAUUUUCUGCAGCUGCUGGAGCAGAUGACCACAAACUCAGUGACUGCAGAGUGCACGCGCUCAUCACCUUACAGUUGUGUAGGCUGGGAUCCCACUGGGCUAAGACCAAGGUGUUGGGAGGCUGCGUUUCUUGCUGGAUGCUGUAAGGGAGAAGUCGUUUCCUCGUGUUUUUUUAACUUCCUUGGCCCACGGACCUUCCUCCACCUUCAAAGCCAGCAGCCUCGCGUCUUCUGACCUUCCAUUGUCACAUCGUCAUCUGACCCACGUAAGGACCCGUGUGAUUAGGGUGGGCGCACCCGGGUAAUCUUCCCAUCUCAAAGUCCUUGACUGAAUCACAUCUGCAAAGUCCCCUUUGCUACGUAAGGUCACAUGUUCACAAGAUCCAGGGAUUAGGACUUGGACAUUUUUGGAAGCCCAUUGUCCUGCCAACAGCACAAGACCUCCAGGUGAUCCUGAUGUGUAACGCACAGUGAGAGACAAAUGCUCUGAUGGACCAUCAACAGCAGAACGUAAGCAGGGAGAGGGACCCCGCCUUCCUCCCCAAUCUGGCCCUGUGCCUAGCAAAUUAUAGAACUUUUGUAAGCAAAUGAGUUCAUUUGUGAAUAAAUGAACGACCGGUGAGACGAAGAGCUGGGCGUAGCAGCCACAGGUGGGGCUGCCAAAUAAAAUGCAAGAUGCGUGGUUAAAUCUGAAUUUCAGAUAAAUAACAAGUACUUAUGUUUUUGGGGGUUUUUUUGUUUUUUUGUUUUUUUUUUGAGAUGGAGUCUCGUUCUGUCGCCCAGGCUGGAGUGCAGUGGUGUGAUCUUGCCUCACUGCAAGCUCCACCUCCCGGGUUCAAGUGAUUCUCCUGCCUCAGCCUCCUGAGUAGCUGGGAUUACAGGCAUGUGCCACCAUGCCUGGCUAAUUUUUGUAUUUUUAAUAGAGACGGGGUUUCACCAUGUUGGUCAGGCUUGUCUUGAACUCUUGACCUCAGGUGAUCCACCCGCCUCGGCCUCCCAAAGUGCUGGGAUUACAGGCAUGAGCCACCACACCUGGUAACAAGUAGUUUUUUACUACCAGUGUGCCUCUAACAAUAUUUGAGAUAUACUAAAAAAAAAAGUUGUUUUUUAUCUGAAAUUCAAAUUUAGCUGAUAUCCUGUAUUUUUCUUUGUCAAAUGUGGCUUCUCUAAGCAUCAGUCCAGCCAUGGCCCAGGUGGUGAACCUGGAAAUUCAUUCCUCCCUCCAGAACUCUGUUUCCCUGCUCAGUGUUCUAGAAAGCAUCCCCUUCUCUGGCAAACCCUGUCCAAUCUCUCAGGGAAGAUGAGGCCUCCUUCCUCUUCCUGUCCUCCGUUAAUCGAUAUUCCCACCCCAACCCCUCCUAGAAUUUGGUGAUCUGGGGUCUGAAGUCUUCUACCAGGAGCUCAAGCUGAUGGGCUGAGAAGCCCAGUUCUGACGUGAAUUCUGCACCCCUCCUUCGGGAACAAGGAAGACCCAAGCUUGCUUAUCUCUAGAUCCUGCGGGGGGCUUUUGAGAAUCCCUAGUUUUGAGGCUGUGGGAUGGAGCUGCAUGGGAGAGCCAGGAGGAAGACCCUGGCACAGCACGCUCUGAGUAUGGGGUUGCUGCUGGCCCACCCUGUUCCCUCCACACUCUGGAGGAUGUGGAGUGGACGCCAUCAGGGUGCAGCCAUGCAGAACGGCUGGGUCUGUCCCUGUGUCCUCACGCACAGAGCUCUGGAAGGCAGGCAGACGUCCUCACACAUCUGUGAGCCAAAAGGCAAAAAACAAAAGAAGCAAACAAAAAAAUCCACUCCGAUGUUCUUAUGCUUAUGGGUUCUACAGACUUGCAUAUACAUAAUGUAAUGAAAAUUCUUGAUUUCAUCUUCAGAGACAUAAAUGGAAGAAAAUGUACAUAAAAGAGAGUCCACUUAAACAUGUGAUCCUCUCAAAGGAAGAAAAGAACAGGGCUCACUCAUCCACAUCAACCCGGUGAGGCCCGGACACCCCCCACCUCUUCUGCUUAGAGCCCUAUUAUCCUUUGAUCUCCCUAAUAAUGUGUUUCUUUCCUGGUAAUAGGUUUUCAUCAUCCUCACAGCCUAUUGAUUAGAACUCUUUUCCAGGGUUUUGAGAUAUUGGCUAAAAUAAGGGAUGAAAUGAUUCAGUCUUCAGGUGAUGUUUCAAAGGAGGCGUGUUCGUAAUGUCCUCCCGCGACGAGGGACCUGGCCAAGAGAAACUACGCAGGAGGCCCAGAAGGCAGAGCCUGCUCCAGGUCGGCCUCACUGCUGUCCCUUCUGACCUCUCGACAUUUUGGUUUUGGCAUGGUGAAUGGGGCUACCACAGUGGGCCAGCCAGCAUGACCCCCUGACCAGACCUGGAGGCAGGCAGAGGAAAGGAGAGGGCCAGGGAUGGGUGGGUGGCCGGGUGUGUGCCGUUUGCUGAAGUUGAGGCACUGUGGUUCCUGGAAUCCUCAGCCCAGGGACUUCUAAGACACAUCUCUAAGACACAAACAAGAUCUACACCUCUAAGAGGGAAGGAAUGACCGGCCCAUCGCAGGCUGUCUUCGACUGUUGGGGCUCCCAUGACAAAAUGCCAUAGACUUAGGGGCCGAUGAACAACAGCCAUUGGUUUCCCACAGUUCUGGAGGCUAGAAGUCCAAGAGCAAGGCUCCAGCAGAACGUCUGGUGAGGGCCGCUUCCUGAUUCAUAGACGGCACCUCUUUGCUGUGUCCCCGCCUGGUAGAGGGCUGAGGGAUCUCCCUCAGAACUCUUUUAAAAGGGCACUCUCCUCAUUCACCAGUGUUCCACCCUCAGGACCUAAUCACCUCCCAAGGGCCCCACCUUUUAAUACUAUUUAAUACCAUUGCAUUAAGGAUUAGGUUUCAACAUGUGAAACUGCAGGACACACACACUCAGCCCAUAGCAGAUGCCCUGAAGGGGCUGUGAAGUGUCGUGAGUAGAGCCCCAGGAAUGGAGGGUUCUGGAGGGGCACAUAGGUCCAACAGAGCGCAGGCAUAAGGUGGGAAGCCAGAGGGGGCUGUGUGGGCCGGACUGGGUCAAAUCAGGAGGCCUGGAGAUGCCUGGUGAGGAGCCCCGGUCCCACGAUGUAGGGGGCCUGUCGGCACAGGAGUGUAGGCCACGGGCUUGUGGGCAGCCUCCCUCAGGAGGGUGUGGGGCUGAUGAGCAGGUGUGGGCGCAGGUGCAUGCAUCAGGACGUGUCCCCUGCGGAAGCAGCUCCUGUAGGAUCACCUCCUCCACCAGCGACCAGGAAGGACAUUGCAUUUAGACUCUAGGUGAGUCCAGCUUCACUCAUCGCCAGCUGAGGCCUCAUUUUCUCAUCUCUAAGACAUAAACAACCACCCCCUCUUCCCAGGAACACACACACACACGCGCGCGCACACACGUGGUUCUGCGGCUCAUAACUAAAUGUAAUGAAAGGUAAACUAAAGUGCCCCUCCAUGGAAAUCGACCCCAAUUCAGCCUCUAAUCCUGAGAUGCAAGAUUCAGAACCAGUAUGUCAAGGAAAAGUGUUUCUCUGCAUUGAUCCUCGAGGAUACUAAAUGUAUAUUUUAAAAAAUAAAUUCUGUCCCAAGUGUUUGGUGAGACAGAGAGAGAAGCAGCCGCUUCUGAAGUGAGCACAAGGACGUGGCUUUUCUGGAGGCUUCCUCAUUGCAGGACCCAUCCAUCACCUUCAGGGGUUCGAUGAAACCGUUGCAAAUAUGAUCAAUCAUCUUUUUAUUGAAUUAAGACAAAUGGCUGGUUAUUAAUAGGCUAAGACUUAAUGAGGAAAAUGGAUAAUGCCGCACAGGGAAAAGGCAAAGAACUGUGCACACAGCCUCUGCACUUUUUCUAGAAAGAUCUGGAAGUGUCUUCAGUGAGAAAAGCCCCGGGCUGGAUGACCUCUUUGAUUCACACUAAGGACUCAAGGAAGCAAAAACUCCUAGGUUGACCCUUUCUCCACCACCUUCUAUCUGUGUGAUCUUCAGGCAGUGACUUGACCUCUCUGAACUUCUGUCUCUUCACAAAGGUGCUUGGCUUAUGAUGUUGUGCCUGGCAGACGCAGACUGAGAGAAGCAGAGUCCUGGCCUCCAAAAUCUGAGUUGUGUGUGGGACAGAAUGGUGUGCUUCACCUGCGGUUCUGAGGGGGCCGGCGGGAUCAGAUGCUGGCACAGGACAUGGGAAGGGGGUGCGUGUGGGGCAGAGCCGUGCAGCAGGUGCACAGCUGUGCAAGGUCCCCUGAUGGGCCCUCUCUGCUCCAUGUUUCCAGAAAUCCUUGGAAAGGAGCUCAAGUGGCACAGUAUCUGGAGCGUGUUGUGGACUUGGUUGGGAUGCCUGGUGUCUGUUUAUGGCAGCACUUCUGGGGAAACAGAUUGUGUUUAUGUCAGAAAGAAAAGACCAUGUUUCGGGGCAAUCCCUGCAGCUCGUUAGGUCAAAUCAACACCCCCAGCCCAUCUGCCUCCGCAGGGUGCCUCGGCCCCACUCAGUGCCGGCAGACAGGAGCCUCCCAGGGAGCAGCCGAGCUCCAGGGCGGGGGAGCCACCACCGAGCACAAUAGCCAAUCAGCCCCUUCCUAGAAGCAAGUCAGGCUGCCCGGCGUGCUUUCUGUCUGUCGUUCCUGCAGCCUCCACGGGCACCGGCCCAGGUGGUCCCUGGCUGGAUGGUCAGAACUCAGAGCUGUGAGCUGUGGCUGCUGAUUCCCUCCUGAACAACAGGGUCUAGGGAGACAGGCAGACACAGAAACCUCAAGUGAAGUGGGGGCUGCGGGCUGGGGGUGCUGCACGGGGCAGUCAGGGGCACAGCAAAGAGGACGUGACCUCAGGUCCUCGGCAGCAGGGAGGGAAGGCAUGGAGUACAUGCUUUCCUCUGGGAAACACUCAUAUCCGAUUCACAUGAUAUUGUCCGCAGUGCUGAGCCUGGCAGACCUACAUCUUCAUCUUUUUGGUGCGUUAAUGAGGAUUUUUAUUUCUUCUUUAAUGAUUAAUUCCUAAAAUUAUAAUACUUAUGUGAAUAGUACCAAUGCUUAAUAUUUUUGAUAAAAAUUUAAAAAUUGAGCUCCAAAAGGGAUUCACCAAUUAAUAUUUCCAUCAUCAUUAUGCAGAAGUUGCUAUUUACUCACAUCCUUAAUUAUAGAGGAAAGUAUCAAUGAAUGUUUACCAAUUUAAUGACUCAAAUAUUUUCAUAUCUAUAUUUCUCCAUUAUUAGUGACAUUGUGCACUUUUACUUAUGUGUAUUGACGAUUUGUACUUUUACUCUGUGAAUUUCUUUUUCUCUUCUUUUUUUCAACUUUUAUUUUAGAAUUGGAGAGUACAUGUGCAGGUUUGUUAUGAAGUUAUAUUGCGUGAUGCUGAGGUUUGGAGCAUGAGUGAAUCUGUUACCCAGGUACUGAGCAUAGUACCCAAUAGGUAGUUUUCUUUCUACCUUGCCCCCAGGAGUCCCCAGUAUCUAUUUUUCCCAUCUUUGUGUCCAUCUGUACCUAAUGUUUAUCUCCCACUUACAAGUGAGAAAACGUGGUAUUUGGUUUUCUGUUCCUGCAUUAAUUUGCUUAGGAUAAAAGUUUCUAGCUGCAUCCAUGUUGCUGUGAAGGACAUGGUUCCAUUCUUUUUCAUGGCUGUGUAGUAUUCCACGGUGUCUGUGGGUUUUUUUUAAAGGUUGUUUUUGAAGAAUACUUGACAACAUGGAGAAAUUCUCAAUGCGUGAAAAAAAAGUAAAAGGAAAGUAAAAGGGAACAGAAGUAUAUAUAAAGCAUGUUCCAAUAUUGUCCAAAAAUAUUAUUAUUGAUUAUCUGGGAGAAGUUUAUGGGUAUUUAUGCUUUUUUCCAUCUUUGAAAAAUACUCUGAGAAUAUGCAUUAGUUUUAUGAGGAAAGUGCAUGUUAUAAAGCCUAAAGAUGAAUUGUGUCUCCCCACAAAAGAUAGGUUGAGGGACUCAGCCUGUGGCCUGAUUUGGAAGCAGGGUCACUACAGAUGGAAUUAGUUGAGGUGAGGUCGUCCUGGAGUAGGUGAACUCCAAUCCAAGAUGACUCAUGUUUUUGCCAG